CAUGAUUGCCUGGCUUAUCAUUUUCCUUGGCUACUCCUCUUAUGGGGGAGAUCACCUUCAAUGGAAGAAAUGGAGAAAACUGGGGAACACUAUUCCCUAGCUUCUAAUCAGGUCUCCUUAUGAAUCCUAGACUGGCCCAGAACAUAAGCUUAAAAAAGAAGACAAUGAAUACAGAUCUUUGAGCAGGAACUGCUACUGAGACUUCUGUACUUGAACACUUCCCCAGCUGGUGGCACUAUUCUGACAUGCUGUGGAAGCUUUAGGAGCUGGGCCCCAACUGGAGGGAAUGAUCCACUGGAGCAGGUAUGAUUCUGCCUGAAUGCUGUGCUUCCAGACUGCUGAGGAGAUGUGAGCAAGACACCUAACACUAGCACAGCAAGAGUUCCCAGGGUGUUAGUGCUUGAAGUCACAGGCAUGCCGGAAUGAAAUAAAACCAUCUUAUGCAGAGCUGAUUCUUUCUGAGUAUGACGAAAAACCCCACAGGAAUGUGAGCUGUGUCCUGGCAAUCCUGCAGCAUGGGGAGCCUCCAUUGCCUUCAGGGUGCCCUUAAGUCAGCAGCAGAUGGAAGCUCCACGCUGUGCCCAUCAAUCUGAGAAUCCCCUUUCUCCUUCAGGAUCUCCACAUAGUCAUAGCUGGAUCUGUGCUUGCACUGUAGAAAGGAAUUUCAAGAUAAGCCAAAGUGAACAGAGGAAAUUCAGGAAAACCUUGGGACUUCCUGUUUUAUGACCUAUUUCUACACAGGCUUUGGGCCUGGGUUGGGACAGGAUAUAGAUGCAUUUUGAGCUGGAGUAGAGAUGACCACCAGGGCCCAAUGUUCUCAAGGGACUCACCCAGGGCAGAGUCUCCAUCCCAUGAGCAGAAACAGGGCUAGUCGUUGGAAAAGGAAGCAUCAUUUUUCCUCAGUCCGGCCAUCCACCCAGUGUUUAGUCUCUUCAAUGGAAAUGAAGAACUGAACUAAGAAAAAUGAAGCCUGUCCCCAACUGUGAAGACAUUAUAACUCACCUACCAGAGCUAUGGUGACUCAGAAGACCAUAAAUGACUGCUGUACUCUACAUGAACAGCCUCGUCUCUUGGUCUCCAGAAAACAAAGCUUCAAGUACGCCUCUGCCUCUGUUUGCUGUAGUAUUCCUGUGACCAUGCCCAGUGCUCCCAGUCUUCAGUGUGGACCGAAAUUGAACAUCAAAUGGAAUCAGCCUGGUUAUCAAGUCUUGGAAAAACACAGAGGUACCUUAAGUUAGGUAACUAUGUUCAGAAGCCAGACUGGACCUCUCUCCUACAUAUCUCCAACCAUACGGCAUUCUGGGAAAGGCAAAACUGAAGACAAAGGCUGGGUGGGUGCGUGGGAGAGGAAUGCGUAGGUGGAGCACAGAGGAUUUUUUCCAGCAAUGAAACUCUUGAAAGUUACUAAAAGGGUGAGGGAUGUCACUGGGCAAUUGUCCAAACCAAUAUGUUGGUACUUCAGAAGGCUCCACAGGCACAUGGCAGGGAGGAUACAGUGAGUUCUGUGUCUUGUUCACAGCUUUGCUGUGAACUUGAACUGCUUGUGAUGAUUGAUUUUCAUGCCAGUUGGAACCACCUGAAUAGGGAGCCUCAACUGAGAAACUUUUCUGAUUGCCUUAACUGAUUUGAUAAGACAUAUUCAAAUGCGGGCAGCACCAUCUGGUCGGAACCCAGAUAAAAAGGGGGCGUGGCAGCCGAAGACUGAUCACCUUUUGCUGGCUUGAUCUUUCCUUUUACCACAGACUUAAUUUACCCUCUUGCCACUGCUGAGUCCUUCACUUACAUCAAAACCAGUGUUUCCAGCCUUCCCAUCAUUGACUAACGGUCAGCGGCAGUUCAGGAACCUGACAAGGUUUUUGGUAACAAUUUGGGAUGGCUGCAACACCCAGUUUAAGGACUCAGCAACUACCAGGUUCCCAGCCUCUCAGUUCUGAGAGAAAUGUUACAUUUCAACUUAAACUGAUUUAAUACAUUGAUUUUUUUAUGUUCAUUCUAUCAGUUCUGUUCCUAUACAGAAUCCUAACUAAUGCACUGUCUAAAAGUAAAGGUAUUAAAAAAAUAAUAAUAACAUAGGGCUGAAGAGAUAGGUCCUUGUAAGAGUACAAAC
Long non-coding RNA from Nannospalax galili (Upper Galilee mountains blind mole rat), 2107 nucleotides. RefSeq lists it as uncharacterized. The record is from RefSeq and is a predicted model, not a curated record. The transcript has 7 exons. Lineage: Eukaryota; Metazoa; Chordata; Mammalia; Rodentia; Spalacidae.